Pocillopora verrucosa is the source of this 183-nucleotide non-coding RNA. Lineage: Eukaryota; Metazoa; Cnidaria; Anthozoa; Scleractinia; Pocilloporidae. The record is from RefSeq and is a predicted model, not a curated record.
GGAACUUUUGAAGAGCUCUAUCAAGGAAAACUACACGAUCGACUUUAAUAGCUUCCUUCAGUUUCCUGUCAGGCAACACAACGGCUGAAAUACUUCAAGCCACAGAAUAAGAUAAGAGGUCUCUUCACCAAGCUCUUUACAGCUGAAGAAUAAACAACAUGCACGAUCGUGUGAAUAUGCUGC